GUAUGGCGCGCGCCGAAAUCAAAUACGGAGCCAGGGGGCGUAAAGGACCCGGCUUUUGCAGGCUGGGGCGUGGCUGAGGCUGGGGAGAAGCUUAGAAGGUGGCGGGGCUUCUGGAGGAAAAGAAGCUUCGAUUUGCAGGUCUUGGAAGACGGAAGGGCAACUCUUGUUUACGUUUAAAACCGAGAGGCGGCCCUAGGGGUAGCGCCAGUUAGCAGGCGCUGAAAGGCCCUGGCUUCGUGGGUGUCUCUGAGCCAGGCUGGCGCUCGUGCGCGCUGGGCUCCGCGCUCAGUCGCUGGGGUGGGAGGCCAGGGGAAGCCGCCGCUGCAGGCCGAGCCGCGAGAUUUGCAGUGCAGGAGCCGAAGCGGCGGGCAUGGUGGGAGGUCCUUGGAAGCUGCUGCGGGGAACUGAAACGGCUCUGAUAGGCAGGCACAAAGACUUCUCUAGGACCCCCUACAAUGCUUUACGUUUGCCUCGUGCUUUAGAUUUCACAAAGUGCUUACACAUAACACGACCCUCCUCACUCGACCUGGUGAGAUGGGUAGCAUUUUGUGGAAGAUUCCGAGACUCAAGUUUGAGAGACUCACCCAAGGUCAGAGUUGGCGAGUGGGCGGUCCGUGGACAGGUGCGCAGGUCUCAGCGCCAUUUGGCCCGCGCUGCUGCUUCCUGUGUGUACUGGAUGUUCUCUAGGCUCGCCCAGCGUGGAAGCCCCGAGUUACCAGCCGCAACGUGGAAACCACAGAAGGGGAAAUAGAUGACUUUUGGUUAUCCAGAUCUCUUUGAAUCUUGUUCCUGUCAACUGACUUAUUAGUGCCAUCUCCUAAUUCUGUGUCAACUUGACAAGCCUGCUGUCUUUCCCUUCAUCCAAGUUGCCAAUAAAAAUGCUCAACAAGGCAGAGUGCUUUAGCAAGACCUGGAGAGAUCUCCUACAGGUUUAUCUUUUAAAAACCGUAUACCUGUUUUACAAGGAUCUCACAAAGAUUAACAAUAUGUAUGCUAUGAAGGAUCCCAUCUGCCUCAGAGAAGAUACGCUUUUCAUCACAGACUGUAUACUUUUUACAGUUCUUAUCUAUUUAUUCUACUGCAAAAACUGCCGAUUCUACAGAGCCUAUUAAUUCCACUGGGAAAACAUGUACGGAAUGUGCUCAUGAGUAUGGGACUUCCUGUAAUUGUUGGAAAGAAGAAAAAGGCUGAUAGAAAAAACAUUUUGGCCUGGCACUCAGGAGAAAACUUCUGCUGAGGAAUGAACAGGGAAAAACAAUGAUGGACCACCUCAAGGAACAAAUCGGAUAGCUUCGACUUCCCCUCUGGAAGCCCUGCUGCGCUGGGAUGCACCUAUCCCUACUUCUUAGAUGUUCCCAUAUGUUCUCAACAGCAUUCUGUCCCUCCUAAGCAGUGUCACUAAAGCUAGCUGGUCUCUUAGGAUUGUUACCUUUAUUGAUGAUUUUCCCUUUGUGCUUCCUGGUGUCUGGCACCAAGACCACACCCCUACUUCUCCAAUGGCCCUUUCCCUCAGUAAGCUUAGCUUAUUGCUCACCUCCCACCUUCUCCCUGAACCCCAGCAGAAAGACAUGGACCUGUCAGAUGCUCCCGAUAUUUAAGUGUCUAUGCCAAAAUCUCAUGUGGACCUUGUUUGUUCAAAUGAGUUACUAUUGAGAGAGACAGCAAAGUCAUCUUCUUUAGGGAACCUGAAAAUUGUCUUCAGUCUGAAAAUUGUCUUCAGAAGGAGCAAAAGAUAGGUGAGAGGGAGAGGAUAAGAGGAGAGCCAUGUAUUCUCCUGACCAUGAGCUCGCGGUAGAUAAACCCCUGGUUACCUGAAGGCAGCACCGUGAGCACCAUCCGCUGUGACUCAUCGGAUGCUUGAUUAAUCCACUUGCUUGGGUGUCCAUGGAGCUGCCACUCUGCCACCCUACACCAGUACAUUCCUGCAUCCUCCAUCUCCACCUGAUGAAGCUUCAGGACAAAGUCUGUAGAGGAUGAACGGUAACAGUGCAGGUGCCUCCUGAGCCCCUCUUCCCCAUACUCCAGCAAGCCAUCAUGUUGCAAGUGCACCAGCAAUUUACUUCCAGAGUUUUCUCUGUUCCAGUACCACAUCACAGAGUACAGAGUGGCUGAGCUGCCUACACUCUCCAGGCUGCAGCGGAUGGCCACUUCUCUGUGCUCAGUCACAUUUUCGGUCCAGUACACUUUGGAGACACGUACCUUACUUCCUAGAAAAUAAAAUGGCAGUAAAUUAGAGAAUGCAGACUUUCAGAUUUGGAUACCACCUCUGAAAAAUCUAGUUCUCACUGGGAAGAUCUUAUAUUCUUUAGACAUCAGUGCAUUCAUUUUAUUUUUUUUAUUAUUUUUAUUUUUUGAGACAGAGUCUUGCUCUGUCACCCAGGCCAGAGUGCAGUGGCAUGAUCUCAGCUCACUGCAACCACUGCCUCCUGGGUUCAAGCAAUUCUCCUGCCUCAGCCUCCCAAGUGGCUGGGAUUACAGGCGUGUGCCACCAUGCCCAGCUGAUUUUUGUAUUUUUAGUAGAGACGGGGUUUCACCAUGUUGGCCAGAUUGCUCUUGAGCUCCUGGCUUCAAGUGAUCUGCCCACCUCAGCCUCCCAAAGUGUUGGGAUUACAGGCAUGAGCCACCACGUCCAGCCACAUUCAUUUUAAUUCUUGUCCUUGGUCCCUGUUUUUCUCUCACAUUUGCCAGGACAUUCUCUGCUAGGAAUCAAACCAGCCUCUUUCCUUCUUUAGCCCAACUGCUUGCCUGCUGGACCCUGCCAUUGAAAACUACACAGCUUCUGCAGGGCCCUCUGCCUGCUGCUUUUACUUACCCUUGAUUCACUCCUCCUCUACUUCCCAAAGUGGUCAUUCACAACUUUUAGCAGCUCCCUCAAGCCAUGUAUUCCACCAGUACCCCUCAUUCUUAGCAAAUUACUCUCCUCCCAUACACCCAGAUAUUAUCUUGGGUGUAAACGCAGAGAGAGAGGACGCCAUCCAAGAGACUGAACAUUUUGAUGCAAGUGUUAGAAGGCCAUCCAUGGGAGCUAUUUAGAUGAUUGGAUUAGACUGAGUUUUAAAGAGAUUUUGACAUUUACUUUUUUUCCCCUUGCUAACCAGCAGGUGAGGAUUUAGAAUAACAGCCAAAGUAGUUACAAACAAAAUAAAGAAAUUAUAGUGUGCAUUACAUUUUCAAUUCCA
RNAcentral lists this long non-coding RNA (3179 nucleotides) under Homo sapiens (human). RNAcentral's name for it is "HSALNT0013334". Lineage: Eukaryota; Metazoa; Chordata; Mammalia; Primates; Hominidae. The record is from RNAcentral.